RNAcentral lists this transfer RNA (52 nucleotides) under Dysdera nesiotes. RNAcentral describes it as "tRNA-Leu". The record is from RNAcentral. Lineage: Eukaryota; Metazoa; Arthropoda; Arachnida; Araneae; Dysderidae.
UCCAUUUUGGCAGAUUUCUAUUGCAAAAGACUUAGAAUCUUUCUAACCUUAA